This 240-nucleotide ribosomal RNA is filed under the name Mycolicibacterium porcinum. Its description in RNAcentral is "partial 23S ribosomal RNA". It matches the Rfam family "Bacterial large subunit ribosomal RNA", at positions 559 to 772 of the family's 2925-position model. The record is from RNAcentral. Lineage: Bacteria; Bacillati; Actinomycetota; Actinomycetes; Mycobacteriales; Mycobacteriaceae.
UGCGCUUACAAUCCGUCAGAGCCUUCGACUUUGUCGUGGGGUGAUGGCGUGCCUUUUGAAGAAUGAGCCUGCGAGUCAGGGACAUGUCGCGAGGUUAACCCGUGUGGGGUAGCCGCAGCGAAAGCGAGUCUGAAUAGGGCGUAUCCACACAAGAGUGUGUGGUGUAGUGGUGUGUUCUGGACCCGAAGCGGAGUGAUCUACCCAUGGCCAGGGUGAAGCGCGGGUAAGACCGCGUGGAGG